GUGGAAUACACCGUCAUUAACAAUGUCAGGGACUUGCACUUAUGCGGGUCGAAGGUCCAAUUAGCUAACAUCCGGACUCCCAAGCCUGGGGAGAGGCUCGACUUCACACACAUGCUGCAUGUUGAAGCCCAUGUCUUGAGUUCAGAGCUGUCAGGCUCCAGUCGUGGAAGGUCACAACUCUGCAGGGAUUUGUCCUACUCCUCUUUCUUCCAGCAGAUUCAGCUCAGCAAGUCCUCACUCCUUCUCCUGAUGCACUGAACCACAAUAUUAAGCUCAGUGGUCUCGGAAAUGCCUCACAAAACAGUCUGAGCUCCUCAGCUCAGGUUCAGAAUAUAAACAGUACCGACAGACACCGGCCUCCACCGGGAAGACACGUUUAUAUACAUGUGAGGAGGAAAAAAAGAACUUUGUGUCUACUUUUAUGUCUCAAAGCAGUGAUCAAGGCCGGUGUUGUAUCUGAGACAUAAACAGUAACUGCAUGCACAGAGAUUGUGUUGUAAAUGACACCCGCACGUACGGCGAGAAAGAAGGACCAACCCAGUGCUCUUUCUCUCUCUCUCUCUCUCUCUCUCUCUCUCUCUCUCUCUCUCUCUCUCCCUCUCUCUCUCUCUCUCCCGGGCGCGCGCGCAAGUCGGCAUCUCAGGAGCUGACGGAGAAGCCUCGCGCAUGUACACACUGAUGGACUCAAGUUCGAUGUAAUAAUAAUAAAUGGCAUGACUUAUAAUUCCAGCCUCCACGCAGGAUAACUGGCUUAUUAAUGCGAAAUGAAAUAUAUGAAAUAGAGAGCUCGUGCUCAGGGGCUGUUUACGGUUAGGACUAAAUAGUCUACAGACAGGUAAGAUCAGCGCGAGCAAAUAUCUGUGUGUGUGUGUGUGUGUGUGUGUGUGUGUGUGUGUGUGUGUGUGGGUGGGUGGGUGUGUUUUCUAUCAUUUGAAAUAUAUAUUUUUUUUUAAAAUGGGCGCUAUCUAUCUAUCUAUCUAUCUGUCUGUCUAUCUAUCUAUCUGUCUAUCUAUCUAUCCGUCUAUCUAUCUAUACAUCCAUUCCACUCACAGGAUAAUUGGAUAAAGAAUUUUCUCGUCACCUUUUUUUGGAGAAAUGAUGUUUGACAUUUAAGCACAGUGGGUUCUCGGCAUCUAGUAGGGACAAUUGCAGAAAAUUAAUUAAUUAAUGCAUUUAUUUAUUUAUUUAUUUUAUUUCAUUUAUUCGUUCUCCGCAUUAUAAACUACGUGUUAUUUACAUGUUUGUCUCGCUUUUUUUUUAUAUAAAAAAAGAUAUUUUAUUUCUAAUAUUCG
Molecule: long non-coding RNA, 1292 nt
Organism: Ictalurus punctatus (channel catfish)
Lineage: Eukaryota; Metazoa; Chordata; Actinopteri; Siluriformes; Ictaluridae
Source: Ensembl